This 828-nucleotide ribosomal RNA is filed under the name Phylladiorhynchus priasus. RNAcentral describes it as "SSU rRNA". It matches the Rfam family "Eukaryotic small subunit ribosomal RNA", at positions 43 to 766 of the family's 1831-position model. The record is from RNAcentral. Lineage: Eukaryota; Metazoa; Arthropoda; Malacostraca; Decapoda; Galatheidae.
CUUAAGCCAUGCAUGUGUAAGUACAAACUGAAUCAAAGUGAAACCGCGAAUGGCUCAUUAAAUCAGCUAUGAUUCAUUGGAUCUACACCACAUUUGGUUACUUGGAUAACUGUGGUAAUUCUAGAGCUAAUACAUGCACAUAUAGUCCCUUCAAACCACAAGUUUGUGUAGCAUUACCGAACUGAGUUGGUAAUAAGAAGGGCGCUUUUAUUAGUAUCAAAACCGGUAUUCUCGGACUUCGGUCCGAAAAACCCAAGUAUGAUGACUCUGGAUAACUUUGUAGCUGAGCGCACAGUCUUCUGCACUGGCGCCGCUUCUUUCAAGUGUCUGCCUUAUCAGCUUUAUUGUAGGUUAUGUGCCUACAAUGGCUAUAACGGGUAACGGGGAAUCAGGGUUCGAUUCCGGAGAGGGAGCCUGAGAAACGGCUACCACAUCUAAGGAAGGCAGCAGGCACGCAAAUUACCCACUCCCGGCUUGGGGAGGUAGUGACGAAAAAUAACGAUGCGAGUCUCAUCCGAGGCCUCGCAAUCGGAAUGAGUACACUUUAAACACUUUAACAAGUAUCAAUUGGAGGGCAAGUCUGGUGCCAGCAGCCGCGGUAAUUCCAGCUCCAAUGGCAUAUAUUAAAGCUGCUGUGGUUAAAAAGCUCGUAGUUGACCCUACAGCGCUGGGCAGAUGGUGAGCUAUAAAUUCCUUAUUUCAGGUUGCUCAUAUGUCUUGCCCAGUGACUGCUUCAGCUGUUAUAUGCUGUGGUCAAUUUUGCUGGCUUACCAGGGGUGCUCUUAAGUGAGUGUCCCGAAGUGGCUGGUGUGUUUACUUUGAAAAAAU